CUCGAGAGAGAGAGAGAGAGAGGGCCGUUGGGUCGGUCUUCUUUGGUACAGGUAGCCUUCUUCUUCCUUUGCCGUCGGAGAGGAAGAGAGGCGCCGGAUCUUCGUCGGAGCGGAGGUAAGAGUCCCUAGCCUUCCUUUCCUCUUCUCUCAGUGCUUGGCUAUGAGGUGUUGUGGUUUGGAGUCGGCCAAGCGCCGAAUUUGGGUCCAAAAUGGGGUGCUCUGCUUCGGCCUGUGUGCUCUACCUGCGGCGUGUUCGCCGCCGACAGCCACCGGAGGUGGUCGGGCUUGCUCCGCUACCUCCUGCCGCCGUCAGGGCCGGCCACCACGGUCGCCCCUGAGUCCGACUGAGAGGGAAGAAGAAGAAGGGGGGUCAUGGGCCCCCUGUUUCGCCAAAGGAGAAGAGAGGAGUCGGGAGAGGAAGGGAAAAGAAAAAGAAAAGAAAAAAAAGAAAAGAAGGAAAAAGAAAAGAAUAAUAAAUAAAUAGAGGGGAUGGUUUACGGGUAUGAACCCGAACUCGGGGUGCUAGGCACUUCUGCAGGAUCAACCAUAGGAGAAUAUUAAAAUUUAAGUUUUUGUAUACAUAUAUUGUGAUGAAUUUUAAAAGAAGAAUGCGAUUUUUGGAUAUUAGGUUUUGCGAGGGAUUUGCGAAAUUAAUUGGAUUUGUUGUUGAUCGCGUUCUCAAAGUAAGUAAUAUAAUCUUUUUCAAGAUUUAUUGGCAAGUUAUAAAUAUUUUCUUGAGUCGAGUUAUUCUUGAUUUACAAAUUCGAUGCAUGGUGU
Molecule: long non-coding RNA, 777 nt
Filed under: Phoenix dactylifera (date palm)
Lineage: Eukaryota; Viridiplantae; Streptophyta; Magnoliopsida; Arecales; Arecaceae
Description: long non-coding RNA (PDAC_LNC010212)
Source: RNAcentral